GAUGAACGCUGACAGAAUGCUUAACACAUGCAAGUCCACUUGAACUUCGGUUUGGGUGGCGGACGGGUGAGUAACGCGUAAAGAACUUGCCUCACAGCUAGGGACAACAUUUGGAAACGAAUGCUAAUACCUAAUAUUAUGAUUUUAGGGCAUCCUAGAAUUAUGAAAGCUAUAUGCGCUGUGAGAGAGCUUUGCGUCCCAUUAGCUAGUUGGAGAGGUAACGGCUCACCAAGGCGAUGAUGGGUAGCCGGCCUGAGAGGGUGAACGGCCACAAGGGGACUGAGACACGGCCCUUACGCCUACGGGAGGCAGCAGUGGGGAAUAUUGGACAAUGGACCAAGAGUCUGAUCCAGCAAUUCUGUGUGCACGAUGAAGUUUUUCGGAAUGUAAAGUGCUUUCAGUUGGGAAGAAAAAAAUGACGGUACCAACAGAAGAAGUGACGGCUAAAUACGUG
Molecule: ribosomal RNA, 454 nt
Filed under: uncultured bacterium
Lineage: Bacteria
Description: partial 16S ribosomal RNA
Rfam family: Bacterial small subunit ribosomal RNA
Source: RNAcentral